CCUACGGGUGGCAGCAGUGAGGAAUAUUGGUCAAUGGACGAGAGUCUGAACCAGCCAAGUAGCGUGAAGGAUGACUGCCCUAUGGGUUGUAAACUUCUUUUAUAUGGGAAUAAAAUGUUCCACGUGUGUCUUUUUGUAUGUACCAUAUGAAUAAGGAUCGGCUAACUCCGUGCCAGCAGCCGCGGUAAUACGGAGGAUCCGAGCGUUAUCCGGAUUUAUUGGGUUUAAAGGGAGCGUAGGUGGAUUGUUAAGUCAGCUGUGAAAGUUUGCGGCUCAACCGUAAAAUUGCAGUUGAAAAUGGAAGUCUUGAGUACAGUAGAGGUGGGCGGAAUGCGUGGUGUAGCGGUGAAAUGCUUAGAGAUCACGAAGAACUCCGAUUGCGAAGGCAGCUCACUGGACUGCAACUGACACUGAGGCUCGAAAGUGUGGGUAUCAAACAGGAUUAGAUACCCCUGUAGUC
RNAcentral lists this ribosomal RNA (460 nucleotides) under uncultured bacterium. Its description in RNAcentral is "partial 16S ribosomal RNA". It matches the Rfam family "Bacterial small subunit ribosomal RNA", at positions 338 to 795 of the family's 1533-position model. The record is from RNAcentral.